UGAGGAAUAUUGCACAAUGGGCGCAAGCCUGAUGCAGCAACGCCGCGUGAGGGACGAAGGCCUUCGGGUUGUAAACCUCUUUUCUGAGGGACGAGGAAGGACGGUACCUCAGGAAUAGGUCUCGGCUAACUACGUGCCAGCAGCCGCGGUAAAACGUAGGAGGCGAGCGUUAACCGGAUUUACUGGGCGUAAAGCGCGCGCAGGUGGCUUCGUUAGUCGGACAUGAAAGCUCCUGGCUUAACUGGGAGAGGCUGUUCGAUACUGCGGGGCUUGAGGUUGGGAGAGGGACGCGGAAUUCCCGGUGUAGUGGUGGAAUGCGUAGAUAUCGGGAGGAACACCAGUGGCGCAAGCGGCGUCCUGGCCCACACCUGACGCUGAGGUGCGAAAGCGUGGGUAGCAAACAG
This 404-nucleotide ribosomal RNA is filed under the name uncultured bacterium. RNAcentral's name for it is "bacterial SSU rRNA". It matches the Rfam family "Bacterial small subunit ribosomal RNA", at positions 355 to 775 of the family's 1533-position model. The record is from RNAcentral.